UACGUAGGGUGCAAGCGUUAAUCGGAAUUACUGGGCGUAAAGCGUGCGCAGGCGGCUUUGCAAGACAGAUGUGAAAUCCCCGGGCUUAACCUGGGAACUGCAUUUGUGACUGCUUGGCUGGAGUGCGGCAGAGGGGGAUGGAAUUCCGCGUGUAGCAGUGAAAUGCGUAGAUAUGCGGAGGAACACCGAUGGCGAAGGCGGCCUGCUGGGUUCUGGCUGACACUGAGGCGCGACAGCGUGGGGAGCAAACAGG
Molecule: ribosomal RNA, 253 nt
Filed under: uncultured bacterium
Lineage: Bacteria
Description: partial 16S ribosomal RNA
Rfam family: Bacterial small subunit ribosomal RNA
Source: RNAcentral